Molecule: unclassified non-coding RNA, 149 nt
Filed under: uncultured Leotiomycetes
Lineage: Eukaryota; Fungi; Ascomycota; Leotiomycetes
Description: sequence contains ITS2
Source: RNAcentral
CAACCCUCAAGCGCGCAGCUUGGUGUUGGGCCACGCCGCCAGCAGCGGCCGGCCCCAAAGCCAGCGGCGGCGCCGCCGGGGCCCCGAGCGUAGUAGAUACCCCCCGCUCCCGGGCACGGCGGCCGCCAGCCGGACCCCCCGUCCUCGUG